GAUGAACGCUGGCGGCGUGCCUAAUACAUGCAAGUCGAGCGAACAGACGAGGAGCUUGCUCCUCUGACGUUAGCGGCGGACGGGUGAGUAACACGUGGAUAACCUACCUAUAAGACUGGGAUAACUUCGGGAAACCGGAGCUAAUACCGGAUAACAUGUUGAACCGCAUGGUUCAACAGUGAAAGACGGUUUUGCUGUCACUUAUAGAUGGAUCCGCGCCGCAUUAGCUAGUUGGUAAGGUAACGGCUUACCAAGGCAACGAUGCGUAGCCGACCUGAGAGGGUGAUCGGCCACACUGGAACUGCGACACGGUCCAGACUCCUACGGGAGGCAGCAGUAGGGAAUCUUCCGCAAUGGGCGAAAGCCUGACGGAGCAACGCCGCGUGAGUGAAGAAGGUCUUCGGAUCGUAAAACUCUGUUAUUAGGGAAGAACAAAUGUGUAAGUAACUAUGCACGUCUUGACGGUACCUAAUCAGAAAGCCACGGCUAACUACGUG
This 497-nucleotide ribosomal RNA is filed under the name uncultured bacterium. Its description in RNAcentral is "partial 16S ribosomal RNA". It matches the Rfam family "Bacterial small subunit ribosomal RNA", at positions 28 to 507 of the family's 1533-position model. The record is from RNAcentral.